GGGGCUGACGUGGUUUUGACAGCAAGGUAAAUGAUUGUGUAAGCAUACCGGGCAACGCAGGCUAUCCCGUAAAACUGUCUUGCAGAACAAUAACUGGCGCAGAAAAUAACUAUGCUUUCGCUGCGUAGUCGAAGAUUAGUAGACUUGGCUUAAUUCCGGCACAAGGUGUUGGAACGAAACAUCGCUCGAUUGGACGGUCUGGUUCCGUUUCGGUACAGCGGUGGCAAAAAAUACCGGACUGGUCGCUUCUAUUCUCCUGUGAGGUGGCGAGAUUUUUAGGAGAUAAGGAUGAGUUUGGGCGUCUGCCCCCGUGCUUCUCCCGACAACCAAUGGCGGAAUAAGUAUGUAGAAAGCACCUUUGUUUCUUGUUUGGACCCGGGUUCGAUUCCCGGCAGCUCCACGC
This 403-nucleotide transfer-messenger RNA is filed under the name Bacteroidales. Its description in RNAcentral is "Bact-19 sp905233405 Standard tmRNA". It matches the Rfam family "transfer-messenger RNA". From Rfam's summary of the family: Bacterial tmRNA, also known as 10Sa RNA or SsrA, is named for its dual tRNA and mRNA-like properties. Lineage: Bacteria; Pseudomonadati; Bacteroidota; Bacteroidia. RNAcentral also lists the same sequence under 1 other name. The record is from RNAcentral.